CAUCCCCUGUGAAUAUUUCUGUUUAGGUUUUUCUUCUUGAAAAGAAAUUGUUAUUCAGCCCGUUUAAAACAAAUCAAGAAACUUUUGGGUAACAUUGCAAUUACAUGAAAUUGAUAACCGCGAAAAUAAUUGGAACUCCUGCUUGCAAGUGUCAACCUAAAAAAAGUGCUUCCUUUUGUUAUGGAAGAUGUCUUUCUGUGAUUGACUUCAAUUGCUGACUUGUGGAGAUGCAGCGAAUGUGAAAUCCCACGUAUAUGCCAUUUCCCUCUACGCUCGCUGACCGUUCUGGAAGAUCUUGAACCCUCUUCUGGAAAGGGGUACCUAUUAUUACUUUAUGGGGCAGCAGCCUGGAAAAGUACUUGGGGACCAAAGAAGGCCAAGCUUGCCUGCCCUGCAUUUUAUCAAAGGAGCAGGGAAGAAGGAAUCAUCGAGGCAUGGGGGUCCACACUGCAAUGUUUUUGUGGAACAAGCCCUUCAGCGGCCAGUAGCAUCUGACUUUGAGCCUCAGGGUCUGAGUGAAGCCGCU
RNAcentral lists this long non-coding RNA (526 nucleotides) under Homo sapiens (human). RNAcentral describes it as "HSALNT0156153". The record is from RNAcentral. Lineage: Eukaryota; Metazoa; Chordata; Mammalia; Primates; Hominidae.